Molecule: transfer RNA, 72 nt
Organism: Toxocara canis (dog roundworm)
Lineage: Eukaryota; Metazoa; Nematoda; Chromadorea; Rhabditida; Toxocaridae
Rfam family: tRNA
About the family: Transfer RNA (tRNA) molecules are approximately 80 nucleotides in length. Their secondary structure includes four short double-helical elements and three loops (D, anti-codon, and T loops).
Source: Rfam
CAGGCAGUAGCUCAAUGGUAGAGCUUCCGCUUCGUAUGCGGGAAGAUCUGGGUUUGAUCCCCGUCUGCUUAC